Molecule: ribosomal RNA, 841 nt
Filed under: uncultured marine bacterium
Lineage: Bacteria
Description: bacterial SSU rRNA
Rfam family: Bacterial small subunit ribosomal RNA
Source: RNAcentral
GCAAGUCGAACGAAGUAGCAAUACUUAGUGGCAGACGGGUGAGUAACAUGUGGGUAUCUACCCUUUGGCCUGGAAUAACACGAGGAAACUUGUGCUAAUACCGGAUAAGUCUUUACGGAGAAAGCUUUAUGCACCAUUGGAUGAGCCUGCACUUGAUUAGUUUGUUGGUAGGGUAAUGGCCUACCAAGACUAUGAUCAAUAGCUGAUUUGAGAGGAUGAUCAGCCACAUUGGGACUGAGACACGGCCCAAACUCCUACGGGAGGCAGCAGUGGGGAAUCUUGCACAAUGGAGGAAACUCUGAUGCAGCGAUGCCGCGUGAGUGAAGAAGGCCCUUGGGUUGUAAAGCUCUUUCGUCGGGGAAGAAAAUGACUGUACCCGAAUAAGAAGGUCCGGCUAACUUCGUGCCAGCAGCCGCGGUAAUACGAAGGGACCUAGCGUAGUUCGGAAUUACUGGGCUUAAAGAGUUCGUAGGUGGUUGAAAAAGUUGGUGGUGAAAUCCCAGAGCUUAACUCUGGAACUGCCAUCAAAACUUUUCAGCUAGAGUAUGAUAGAGGAAAGCAGAAUUUCUAGUGUAGAGGUGAAAUUCGUAGAUAUUAGAAAGAAUACCAAUUGCGAAGGCAGCUUUCUGGAUCAUUACUGACACUGAGGAACGAAAGCAUGGGUAGCGAAGAGGAUUAGAUACCCUCGUAGUCCAUGCCGUAAACGAUGUGUGUUAGACGUUGGAAAUUUAUUUUCAGAGUCGCAACGAAAGCGAUAAACACACCGCCUGGGGAGUACGACCGCAAGGUUAAAACUCAAAUGAAUUGACGGGGACCCGCACAAGUAGUGGAGCAUGUGGUU